UUCAGACCUUUUGCACAACGUAGCAACGCCCACUUCCGCUCAACUUCCUACCCGAUCGCGUCCUGUCAGCCUAUUUGUAGCCAUACUAGCCAACGCCCUCCUACCUCACCAACCAUGGCACUGUUUUACUCAAGGCGCUUGCCAGAGCUGCCAAAGAUAACAGUGACGGAUGUACCUCGUCUGGCCAAGACAAGUAGCAAAGCACCGACCUCCAAGUUGGAAAAAGGAUGUAAACUGUGUCUCCAGUUACCUUUUCAACUACGAAGGGACAAAGUGACGGGAGAGGUCAGCGUAAGGGCUUCCUGCUACAGGUCCAUGAGGAAAAAUGAGAAACCACUCAGUGUGUAGUGUGAAAAGUCAGCUGUUUGUGACACUAUAUGCAGGUUACACAGUCAGAGAUGAAGCCUAGUCUUAGACUACGAAGUUUCUGUCAAUGGAGAUCUGCAUUAAUCUCUAGGACUAGGCAUAACCCAUGUUUAUGAAGGCUAGUAUGGCUACAAACAGGCGGACAGGACAGGACGAGAUCGGGUAUGAAGUUGAGCAGAAGUGGAGCGUUGAGACUUUGUUCAAAGAAUGAUUGCCAUUUCUUCAAACAAACUCUCCCACUUGAUUAGAAUUUUCCACCACAAGAUUCACCUUCCAGCAGGACAACAACCCUAAGGACACAGGCAAGACAACGAAGGAGUGGAUUCAUGACAAGUUUCUGAAUGUCCUGAGUGGCCCAGCCAGAGUCUGGACUUGAACCCAUUUGAACAUCUCUGGAGAGAACUGAAAAUAGCUGUGCAGCAAUGCUCCCCAUCCAACCUGACAGAGCGCGAGAGGGUCUGCAGGGAAGAAUGGGAAAAACUCCCCAAAUACAGGUGUGCCAAGCUUGUAGUGUGGCUGUAAUCGAGGCUGUAAUCGCUGCCAAAGUUGCUUCAACAAAGUACUGAGUAAAGGGUCUGAAUACCUAUGUAAAUGUUAUUUAAGUUUUGUAAUUUUACAACAUUUGCAAAAAAAAAUGUUAAACUUGUUUUUGCUUUGUCAUUAUGGGGUAUUGUGUGUAGAUAGUUUUUUUCCUCAAUUUAAUUAUUUUUAUAAUAAGGCUGUAACUUAACAAAAUGUGGAAAAAGUCAAGGGGUUUGAAUACUUUCCAAAUGCACUGUACAUGGGAUCAGGCACAGCAGCCUUCCAGUGUCAAUAAUGGUUACUUUUUCCAUGUAAGCUAUAAGUCAUGAAAAUGUAAUUAAGUCAUAGAAAAAUGUUUAUGAACCCUUAACAGUGGAUUAUCAAAGGUCUCUACAGCAUAAUGUAAUUUGUGAAUGUCGGUGAAUAACUGAGCCACAUCAUAUUGUAAUUACUUCGCUACUAUGGCCUAUUUAUUGCCUUACCUCCUCACGCCAUUUGCAGACACUGUAUAUACACUUUCUUUUUUUCUAUUUGGUUAUUGACUGUACGCUUGUUUAUUCCAUGUGUAACUCUGUGUUUUUUGUGUCGCACUGCUUUGCUUUAUCUUAGCCAGGUCGCAGUUGUAAAUGAGAACUUGUUCUCAACUAGCCUACCUGGUUAAAUAAAGGUGAAAUAAAUAAAACAUGUGAAAAAAAUCACAAACCACUGGAUGUGUCAAUGUACUCAAUUACUGUAUUAAACAUUGUUUUUCUUCAUGGUGAUGGAAAGUCUACAGAUACAAACCUAGAUGACCAGCCUAUAUACAAUACAGUAAUGUUGUCAUGCCCUGACCAUAGAGAGCCCUUGGUUCUCUAUGGUGUAGUAGGUCAGGGCAUGACUAGGGGGUGUUCUAGUUCAAUAUUUCUAUGGUAAGCUGGUAAUCGUUGCCUCUAAUUGGGAAUCAUAUUUAGGUAGCCAUUUUUCCCACCUGUGUUUGUGGGAUAUUGUUUUGUGUAUGUGGCACCACUACUUUCAGGCUUCGUUGUUGGUUUUUUGUUUAUAGUUUCACCGUAAUAAAGAUGUGGAACUCAACACACGCUGCGCCUUGGUCCGUCUCAUUACGAACGUGACAGAAUAUCCAGCCAAGCAAGGACCAAGCAGCGUGUUCAUGAGGUUAAGGAGUUUUGGAC
Long non-coding RNA from Oncorhynchus tshawytscha (Chinook salmon), 2057 nucleotides. Lineage: Eukaryota; Metazoa; Chordata; Actinopteri; Salmoniformes; Salmonidae. The record is from Ensembl.